This 468-nucleotide ribosomal RNA is filed under the name uncultured bacterium. RNAcentral's name for it is "partial 16S ribosomal RNA". It matches the Rfam family "Bacterial small subunit ribosomal RNA", at positions 28 to 507 of the family's 1533-position model. The record is from RNAcentral.
GACGAACGCUGGCGGCGUGCUUAACACAUGCAAGUCGAACGGAAAGGCCCUGCUUUUGUGGGGUGCUCGAGUGGCGAACGGGUGAGUAACACGUGAGUAACCUGCCCUUGACUUUGGGAUAACUUCAAGAAACUGGGGCUAAUACCGGAUAGGAGCUCCUGCUGCAUGGUGGGGGUUGGAAAGUUUCGGCGGUUGGGGAUGGACUCGCGGCUUAUCAGCUUGUUGGUGGGGUAGUGGCUUACCAAGGCUUUGACGGGUAGCCGGCCUGGGAGGGUGACCGGCCACAUUGGGACUGAGAUACGGCCCUGACUCCUACGGGAGGCAGCAGUGGGGAAUAUUGCACAAUGGGCGGAAGCCUGAUGCAGCAACGCCGCGUGCGGGAUGACGGCCUUCGGGUUGUAAACCGCUUUCGCCUGUGACGAAGCGUGAGUGACGGUAAUGGGUAAAGAAGCACCGGCUAACUACGUG